AGGAGGAUAGACUCGGUGAGCUAUUGUGUUUGGUUUUGCGAAAAAAAAAAUUCUUAGGAAGAGCUUCGGAGGAUAAACCACAGUGUCUGAACUCGAGAAUGGCUUGGCAGGUACGGGACCGAAGGCGAGAAAAAAAAAUCAGAGCUCGAGACGUAAAGGCGAUUUCGAUCCGUCGUAGAUCGUGUUCUUCCGUGAUCUUCAAAGGUAAAUCAUAUUCUUCUGUGGUAGAUUUAAGGAUUAGAUUAGGUUCCUUGUUGUUCUCGUCUCCCUCUAUGCUUCAUUUUUCCGUUUGAAUCGUAGCUCGAUGCUUCGUUUUUCUGUGGUAGAUUUAAGGAUUAGAUUAGGUUCCUUGUUGUUCUCGUCUCCCUCUAUGCUUCCGGGUUUUCAAUUGCUUUGGGGAUCUUUUGGUUUGUAGUUAGGGUUUUCAGUUGCUUUGGGGAUCUUUUGGUUUGUAGUUAGGGUUUCAAUACGUUAUCGGUUUCAAUCGAUUUAGGGAUCUUCUUGUUUGUUCUUACGGUUUGGAAACACCAUUUUGUUUUCAAUCGAUUUCAACGUCGAUUUUUUUUCUUUUACUCGGGUUUAUAUGUGUUUGUUUUAUACAAAACGUAUCUGUAUGGUUUGGUGUUGCUUAUCUUGUUUUCUGUUUAGCUCGAAAACUCAUUACUCGAUCCCUCUGUUAGCUUUAUGUGUAGCUAGUAAACUGUUUAGUUGGU
This 713-nucleotide long non-coding RNA is filed under the name Brassica napus (rape). RNAcentral describes it as "long non-coding RNA (BNAP_LNC020369)". The record is from RNAcentral. Lineage: Eukaryota; Viridiplantae; Streptophyta; Magnoliopsida; Brassicales; Brassicaceae.